This 68-nucleotide transfer RNA is filed under the name Schizopera knabeni. Its description in RNAcentral is "tRNA-Pro". Lineage: Eukaryota; Metazoa; Arthropoda; Copepoda; Harpacticoida; Miraciidae. The record is from RNAcentral.
UUCAAAGUAGUUAAAUAAUAAUAUGGGCUUUGGAGGCCUAAGUUGAUUUCCCGUAAAUUAGUUUAUAA